UUCAAGUGGCUGUUCCUGCACUGCCUGACUCAAAGAAGUGACUCUGAAAGAGCUGGUUCCAUGUGACCAAACCUGGCUGACUGCAUCUCCUCUCAGACCUGUAUUAUCAAAGGGAGCUUUGAUGUGGGAGGAGGGGCCACAUGGUGGGAUGAACUGCCCUGACUGGAGGAAAGUUUUCAGCUGGACACGACUGAUGUCUGGAUUUACCAAUCAAAAGCCUGCAUUCACACGAACUUUUUUAAAAUAUUAAAAUAAAUUCAAAGAAUGAGAAUAUUCUUUAGAGAAAAUACAGCAGAAAUUUGGGCUUCAGAAAAGAAAAGUAUGCAACUGAAUAAAUGUAGGAGCAGCUGCUGAGUUAGCAAACAGGUAUGACAGAAAAACACACAAAAAACUUGAUUAAUUUACAUAAAAUUUACUGAAAAGUUUAUUUUGGUUAUUUAAGUUUUAAUUAGAAUAAAGAAUAAAGUUGCAGUCCUGCAAACAUGUGUCUCUGAGCUCUUUAUUUUACAUAGAAAACUCCUCAUUACCAACCAUGAAAAGUCCUCUUCACUGAUAAUAAUUUGAUUUUAAAUCACCAAAAGGUUCAGAAUGUCUUGGUUUUUGACUCAGAUCUGGAAAUAAAACUUAAAAAAAAAUGCUUAAAAAAAAA
Long non-coding RNA from Oryzias melastigma (Indian medaka), 649 nucleotides. RefSeq lists it as uncharacterized. The transcript is spliced from 3 exons. NCBI's taxonomy places the organism in Eukaryota, Metazoa, Chordata, Actinopteri, Beloniformes, Adrianichthyidae. The record is from RefSeq and is a predicted model, not a curated record.